CCUACGGGAGGCAGCAGUGGGGAAUUUUGCGCAAUGGGCGAAAGCCUGACGCAGCGACGCCGCGUGGAGGAUGAAGGUCUUCGGAUUGUAAACUCCUUUUGCAGGGGAAAAUAAUGAUGGUACCCUGCGAAUAAGCCACGGC
RNAcentral lists this ribosomal RNA (142 nucleotides) under uncultured bacterium. RNAcentral's name for it is "partial 16S ribosomal RNA". It matches the Rfam family "Bacterial small subunit ribosomal RNA", at positions 338 to 497 of the family's 1533-position model. The record is from RNAcentral.